This 447-nucleotide ribosomal RNA is filed under the name uncultured soil bacterium. RNAcentral's name for it is "bacterial SSU rRNA". It matches the Rfam family "Bacterial small subunit ribosomal RNA", at positions 26 to 520 of the family's 1533-position model. The record is from RNAcentral.
AGAACGAACGCUGGCGGCAUGCCUAAUACAUGCAAGUCGAACGAACUCUUCGGAGUUAGUGGCGCACGGGUGCGUAACGCGUGGGAAUCUGCCCCUUGGUUCGGAAUAACAGUUGGAAACGACUGCUAAUACCGGAUGAUGACGAAAGUCCAAAGAUUUAUCGCCAAGGGAUGAGCCCGCGUAGGAUUAGCUAGUUGGUGAGGUAAAGGCUCACCAAGGCAACGAUCCUUAGCUGGUCUGAGAGGAUGAUCAGCCACACUGGGACUGAGACACGGCCCAGACUCCUACGGGAGGCAGCAGUAGGGAAUAUGGACAAUGGGCGAAAGCCUGGAUCCAGCAAUGCCGCGUGAGUGAUGAAGGCCUUAGGUUGUAAAGCGUCUUUACCCGAGUAUGAUAAUGAACAGUAGUCGGAAGAAGUAAGACCCCGGAUAACCGUCCGUAGCCCAG